UUUCAAGGGAUACUGAAAGGGAAUAUUGGAACCAAAUGAAUCUGAAUGGGAAUCCCAGGUCUGUCACUGUCUGUUUUAGACCUUGGAAACAUUACUUAACCUCUUUUGAAAAUAAGGAUUUACCAUCUUGUUGGUUGGUUUGUUAGGAUGAUUAGAUACAUUCCAGAUCAGGGUAACUCUCCUAGGUUAAAAGCAGGGACUGAAGCCAGGCAAUUACCAGGGAUGGAAAUUUUAAAGCUGACGGCAGAACACACACCAGAGCUGCUGGCUCGUGGAAGCCUUUGAAGUGAUGAUUUGAUGGGCAAUCUGAGUUCCUCAGGAGCUGCCUAAAGCCUCAUAGGCUCAGGAGCCAUGCUCUGCUUUCAGAGUACUCAACCUGGGCCUUCCCCUACCUGUGUGAGAUGUCUGCUGCUGCACCCGCACGUGCCCCAGGAUCGAAGGGAGGCCUCAGAGUCCUGCCCUCACAGUGUCCCCCAUGUCUGAAGGCAAAAAACUUGGAAUCACUAUGCAUAUACUAUUUUGGAUGCUCGCUUUCUUGCUUUCUCACUUUCUUGCUUUCUCUCUCUCUCUCUCUCUCCCCCUCUCCUCCCUCCCCACUCCCUCUCUCUCCCUCUCCAUCCCUCUCCCCACCAUGCCCUGCUCCUCUCACUCCCUCCCUCCCCCUCCCUAUGUAAUGUAUACUUUAGCAUUUUACCAUGUUAAAUAUUUUUUCAAUAAUGUGAUUUUUGUUGGCUAUAUUCUUCUACAGCAACGACUACUGCAGUGGUGUAGAUAAAUCUCAUAAUGUUGAUCAGAAUCUCCCAGGCACAAAAGAGAAAAAAAGAUACAUGAUUGUAUACUUUUCUGUGUAUAGACUGUAUAGUUGAGUAAUUUUUAAAUUAUUUUAUAUGGUACUGUCUUUGAUGACUUCUCAGAAACAUCAGAUUGAUUCAUACCUUUUUUUGGUCUCUAUUUAUGCAUUUGCCAGUAAUAAAGCAUCUUGCUCCCUAAGGCUUCACACCAUGAAAUAGCCACAGUGCUGGGGGCCGUCCCAACGUGUUCUUUCUUCCACAGACGCAAGAUGGCUGUCCUCUCUAAGGAAUAUGGUUUUGUGCUUCUAACUGGUGCUGCCAGCUUUAUAAUGGUGGCCCACCUAGCCAUCAAUGUUUCCAAGGCCCGCAAGAAGUACAAAGUGGAGGUAAGUGGGAACACAAGCUGGUGCCCUUAUAGGCUUGUCUGGGGGCCACAGGCUUAGCCAAGAACUUAUUUUCAGCCAUGGAGGGAGAGGCAAGGAGCUAGUUGUGAGAAGUGGCAGUUUCAGGACUGUGUUAGCGAUUCUGCUUCUUCAUGGUAGGAAAGAGGCAAGAAAUACAGGGCCCUGCUAGGGAGUAGUUUCCAUCUUGUUUGACUUUGUCUCUUCUGUAGAAAGACCAGGUAUGCUGGAAUUCCAAUAGUACACUUCUGCUUGGAGCUAUUUGCUAGGAAGAGAGUUACUGUAUUUUCCACAGAGGGUUAAAUAGCAACAUUGUUUCAUGGUGUGCCACUUUAAAAAUGAUGUCUUACAGUGAUUUUCCUGUUUUCCAAGUAGAAAAGAGGUAUGUGGUGUUGAGAUUAGCCUGGACUUAGACAUAGGAAGGUGGUCUAUUAAACACUUCCUUUAGUUUUAGGUGAUCUAGAAGGGAUAAUUACCAAAGUUGUCCCUGGUGAGCGGUUUUAAAUGUCUGUUUCUGUUUAGCAACUUAAUAAUUAAACUCCCUUACUAGAGCUUCUUUUAAGUUUUUAUAUUUAGUUUCUUCUUUUUUUUCCCUUCCAGUGGACACUUCCAUUAAGAUUCUCACACACUCAAUUUCUGUUCUUCUAUUAAGGGAAAUCUUGAAAGGAUGUGGUAUUUGAUGACGCUUAGGAAGGCUCUAUUUCCCUACAGUAUCUUUGUAAUGCAUCUGAAAUCCACCAUUGAUGCUUAACGUCAAUGAAAAGCACGGAGUUUGGCGCAAAGCUGCCUCUUUCCCUUGUGCAACUACAGCGCAGACAUACAUUCUUAUUCCUGGAUAUUUAAUAGAAACAUUGACUCUGCUUCUGAGAAUUGAGACCCUUGUCACCAUAAAUAUUUAAGCAGAAAUUGAAUGGUCAUCUAUCAAGGGUGUGAAAGAAGAUACUUUGGAAUAUAUUGUUUUUAAGGUUCAUUUUAACUUUCAACACUGAAUGCUCCUCUUGACCAUCUGAUCAGUAUGUGCUUUGUUGUGACAGUAUCCUAUCAUGUACAGCACGGACCCUGAAAAUGGGCACAUCUUCAACUGCAUUCAGCGAGCCCACCAGAACACGUGAGUGUCGGCCCUGCCGGGCACCAAAGACAUCUGCAGAGUGGGUGUUUUCUGUCUAACACCUCAGCCCUUAGUGCGCUGUAUAUGCUGAGUCAUAGUGAUGGUGACAAUCAUGGGCACCUCAUUAAAAGUAUUCAAAAAUUAUGUAUGUGAACACAUGGACUAUUAAGAAAACUUAAGAGUGGUUGGAAUGGUGGGAUUUCGGGAUAUUCUUUUCAAAAAAUGUCUUCAUGGUUGCAUUACCUACUACAGUUUUGCAGCAUGACCCAUCUAAACCGAUGUUGACUCUCCCAGGCCUAGGGAGUGAAGAGGUUUUGAAUGCUGUAAGGAAACCCACUCUGACUCACCAGGACCUUCCACUUCCAUUUGUUAGAUGUGAGGUCCUUUUACUCAGCAUGUUCCAAAUGACCUCUAAUCCCAUGCAGAGCAAAGGAGGGUGGAUGAUAGUGACCAGGUCUUAUCCCUGCAGUCAAUGUUUAUUUUUACCCCCAAGCUUCUAACUUGGCAAGAAAGAUGUAAAGAUUCAUAGUGCUGGCCGGGUGAGGUGGGCUCACACCUGUAAUCCCAGCACUUUGGGAGGCCGAGGUGGGUGGAUCACUUGAGGUCAGGAGUUGGAGACAAGCUUGGUCAACAUGGCGAAACCCCAUCUCUACAAAAGUUAGCCAGGCAUGGUGGCACGCACCUGUAAUCCCAGCUACUCAGGAAGCUGAGGCAUGAGAAUUACUUGAACCCGGGAGGCGGAGGUUGCAGUGAGCUGAGAUCACGCCACUGCAUUCCAGCCUGGGUGACAGAGACAUUCCGUCUC
RNAcentral lists this small RNA (3105 nucleotides) under Pan troglodytes (chimpanzee). RNAcentral describes it as "retained intron". Lineage: Eukaryota; Metazoa; Chordata; Mammalia; Primates; Hominidae. The record is from RNAcentral.